UACGUAGGGGGCUAGCGUUGUCCGGAAUCAUUGGGCGUAAAGCGCGUGUAGGCGGUUCGGUAAGUCCGCUGUGAAAGUCGAGGGCUCAACCCUCGAAAGCCGGUGGAUACUGUCGGGCUAGAGUGCGGAAGAGGCGAGUGGAAUUCCUGGUGUAGCGGUGAAAUGCGCAGAUAUCUGGAGGAACACCGGUGGCGAAGGCGGCAUCCUGGACCGGUAUUGACGCUGAGGCGCGAAAGCGUGGGGAGCGAACAGG
This 253-nucleotide ribosomal RNA is filed under the name uncultured bacterium. Its description in RNAcentral is "partial 16S ribosomal RNA". It matches the Rfam family "Bacterial small subunit ribosomal RNA", at positions 524 to 776 of the family's 1533-position model. The record is from RNAcentral.